This is a long non-coding RNA of Myzus persicae (green peach aphid), 1913 nucleotides long. RefSeq lists it as uncharacterized. Lineage: Eukaryota; Metazoa; Arthropoda; Insecta; Hemiptera; Aphididae. The record is from RefSeq and is a predicted model, not a curated record. The transcript has 2 exons.
UUAUGAAUCAUAUAUUUAUUUAAUUGUUCCUGCAUUAUAUAAUUAUUAAAACGGUGAUAAUUUCCGAAUACAGUAAAAUAGUAGGUAUUGUAUAAUGGGUGUACGAAGCGUCGAAGCAUAUUCGUUCAUAAAUAUCCAUUAUCCAUUAUAUUUCAAGAACGAGUACACACUUGAAUACUUGAUCUUUUAGCGUGGAACAAUACGAAUCUGAGUAUAAUAGUAACUAAAAAAAAUGUACCGAUUGUACCGAUGCAACGAGUAUUUUGGAUUCGGUACUUUAUUCAUUUAUUGUAACUGUGCCGAUUGGAACGAUUCUACAAAAGGAACGAUAAUUCCCACCACCAUUUGCCAACCAUAUAGUGGCGCUCUUUAAAAAUGUGGUGACAUUUUUAAACGUUUUUCCACAAACAAGCGGGACAUUGUCUAUAGGCUAGGGGGGGGGGGAGAGACGUGGUCCGAUCUGAUCGUGGUGAAGACUGAUGGUGCGCGCCGCGCGGAUGCCAGGCGGUGGAUAUCUUAGGUUAUUUAGUCAUGAUUAUAACUAUAUAUAUUACUCUGCCCAAUGUCCGUAUUAGCGCUAUUGUAGCCAUUUACGGGUUUGUCACUGCUGCUGCCGCCUGCCUGUUGUUUUGUUAGCGGUUGUGCCAUCCCGUUCCGUCCCGUCCCGGGUAAUAUAAUGUAUAUUGUCAUAAUGUUACGUACUUUUAACUUUUUAUUUUUUAAGUCAUUUCUCAUUUGUCACACUUGCGUGCUGUAUGCUAGUAUUUACGUUGUACAAUAUUUUAUAUCACAUCGCAGUAAUGACCAUCCUCAAUCAUGGAUUUCAGUCGUCCGUUCCUUCGAUUCAACUGGAUGAAAUCGCCUUGUUAUGGAUGUACAUAUAUAGGAGUCUGACCAUAUGGCGUUAGUGGACAUCCAUUCCUGUUCUCUCUCGGGACGAUCAGACGCUUGGUACUACUUGUCCCGUCGGAACGAUGCUACUUCAUAGGUAAGUAGGCAUUAGCUUAGCUAUUAUACUUAUUGAAUAGAUUGUUGAAUGAAUUUAUUUAUUUACUUACACAUUUUAAUUUUUAAUUUUUCUACUAAUUAAGUAUAAUUUAGGUAAUUGAAUUCAAAUAAUCAGUUUAAAAGACAAUAUAAUCAAUAUCAAUAGCUGAAUAGAUUUUAUCGAGUCCUUGUACUAUAAUAAUUAUAAUCACCUAUCAUCAAGUAGAGCAGCGGUUCUCAAACUUUUAUUUCGCGUACCACUCAUGUGUAUUAUUAAUCUGUCGCGUACCAUGUAUGUCUAUUUCCAUGUGAUCAUGUUCAAACACAAAUUGAAAUAUUCAUUUAUUUACUCUGUUCUAUCACCUUGUGGCCUUUCGCGUUCCGACAUGUAGUCUUCCGCGUACCAUUGUUUGAGAACCUCUGAAGUAGAGUAUAUUAAUUUGUGUUAUCUACCUCGGUAGGUACAAUAUCAUUAAUUUGCAAUGUGUAAGAGUGAUGCUGUAGUGGUCCAGCCGGCUAUCUUGUCGUAUGCGCUCUACUGGCGACAUUAUGACUGCAGUAUGUGCUCUACCGCUUGAUUGCACUCUACCGUUUUUACCACUCUAAUUGUAAGCAAUUUAAGUUAUUUUUAUUUUUAUUAUACCAUACUUCAUACACAGGUGUUACGACAAACAUCACAGUUUAGAUAAUUUUGAAAAUAAUAAUAUUAUCUGGGCCGGCACGGAUUAUGAUAACAAUUUAUAAAUUGAAAAAUAAUAAUAAUGAAAAACAAUAACACACAUAAAAUUAUAUAAAUAAUUAAUGAAUUAGUCAAGUGUGAUACCAUUUCAAAUAUUGCAAACAAUUAUAAAUUAUAAUGUGUUGUAUAAAAUACUAUAAAAAAUGCUAUAAAUUAUUUAUAUAAGACCGUUCGUCAUCGUCAUAAU